RNAcentral lists this ribosomal RNA (468 nucleotides) under uncultured bacterium. RNAcentral's name for it is "partial 16S ribosomal RNA". It matches the Rfam family "Bacterial small subunit ribosomal RNA", at positions 28 to 507 of the family's 1533-position model. The record is from RNAcentral.
GACGAACGCUGGCGGCGUGCUUAACACAUGCAAGUCGAACGGAAAGGCCCUGCUUUUGUGGGGUGCUCGAGUGGCGAACGGGUGAGUAACACGUGAGUAACCUGCCCUUGACUUUGGGAUAACUUCAGGAAACUGGGGCUAAUACCGGAUAGGAGCUCCUGCUGCAUAGUGGGGGUUGGAAAGUUUCGGCGGUUGGGGAUGGACUCGCGGCUUAUCAGCUUGUUGGUGGGGUAGUGGCUUACCAAGGCUUUGACGGGUAGCCGGCCUGAGAGGGUGACCGGCCACAUUGGGACUGAGAUACGGCCCAGACUCCUACGGGGGGCAGCAGUGGGGAAUAUUGCACAAUGGGCGGAAGCCUGAUGCAGCAACGCCGCGUGCGGGAUGACGGCCUUCGGGUUGUAAACCGCUUUCGCCUGUGACGAAGCGUGAGUGACGGUAAUGGGUAAAGAAGCACCGGCUAACUACGUG